RNAcentral lists this small nuclear RNA (123 nucleotides) under Tupaia belangeri chinensis (Chinese tree shrew). RNAcentral describes it as "Tupaia chinensis (Chinese tree shrew) U5 spliceosomal RNA". It matches the Rfam family "U5 spliceosomal RNA". From Rfam's summary of the family: U5 RNA is a component of both types of known spliceosome. The precise function of this molecule is unknown, though it is known that the 5' loop is required for splice site selection and p220 binding, and that both the 3' stem-loop and the Sm site are important for Sm protein binding and cap methylation. Lineage: Eukaryota; Metazoa; Chordata; Mammalia; Scandentia; Tupaiidae. The record is from Rfam by way of RNAcentral.
AUACUCUGGCUUCUCUUCAGAUCGUAUAUAUCUUUCGCCUUUUACUAAAGAUUUCCAUGGAAAAAUACCUCUCCUCCAAGGGAAAAGAAUAACUCCUUUUCAUCCACAGACAGUACAUUGGAA